RNAcentral lists this ribosomal RNA (484 nucleotides) under uncultured bacterium. RNAcentral describes it as "partial 16S ribosomal RNA". It matches the Rfam family "Bacterial small subunit ribosomal RNA", at positions 899 to 1397 of the family's 1533-position model. The record is from RNAcentral.
ACUCAAAUGAAUUGACGGGGGCCCGCACAAGCAGCGGAGCGUGUGGUUUAAUUCGACGCAACGCGCAGAACCUUACCAGGGCUUGACAUGCCCCUGCACCGCUUUGAAAGAGGCGUCCCCGCAAGGGGCGGGGGCACAGAUGCUGCAUGGCUGUCGUCAGCUCGUGCCGUGAGGUGUUGGGUUAAGUCCCGCAACGAGCGCAACCCGCGCGGCCAGUUACACUCUCUGGCCGGACUGCCGCGACUAACGCGGAGGAAGGUGCGGAUGAUGUCAAGUCAGCACGGCUCUUACGUCCUGGGCUACACACACGCUACAAUGGACGGUACAACGGGUCGCGAAGCCGCGAGGCGGAGCCAAUCCCAGCAAAGCCGUCCCCAGUUCAGAUCGCAGUCUGCAACCCGACUGCGUGAAGGCGGAGUUGCUAGUAACCGCAGGUCAGCACACUGCGGUGAAUACGUUCCCGGGCCUUGCACACACCGCCCGU